RNA transcript from Gambusia affinis (western mosquitofish), 1663 nucleotides. It is a transcript of the gene named myeloid leukemia factor 2, with no coding region annotated. Lineage: Eukaryota; Metazoa; Chordata; Actinopteri; Cyprinodontiformes; Poeciliidae. The transcript has 9 exons. The record is from RefSeq and is a predicted model, not a curated record.
AAAGCAAAGGAAGUCACCUUCGUUAGCUUCGAUGCUAGCUUGUUAGCAGCGGUGUUUUCCUUUGUUACGGGACGGACUUCCGUUUUCAAUGUUUGCUCCAGGUUUCUGGAAUUUACUGUCUAGUGACAGUUUCAGCUAGAGACCGCGUCGAGAAAGAGAUACAGCUACUGUGUCGUUUUCUCCGGGAAGCAGCCGGGCUAAAAGUCCAACAUUUCAGCCCGACCUGAAAGUGAGACUGUCACUCUUUCUCUACGUCUCUUUAACUCAAGUUAGCUGGCUAGCAUCAGCCAGCUGAGUUAAACCGCUUAGCAUGUUCCGCUUCUUGAAUGACGCCGAAGACGAUCCCUUCAUGAUGGAUCCGUUUGCUGCCCACAGGCAGCAGAUGAGGACGAUGUUUGGACCAUUCGCCAUGGAUCCGUUCGCUCUCACCCCCCAGAUUCAGCCGCACCGUGUGGCACGCAGACAGGCGGGUCCACUGGCUCCCUUUGGCAUGAUGGGAAUGGGAGGCGGGUUCAUGGAUAUGUUUGGCAUGAUGGGAGAAAUGAUGGGAAACGUGGAAAGAAUGUCCGGAUCGCCAAACUGUCAAACAUUUUCCUCCUCAACAGUGAUCUCGUAUUCGUCCACAGACCCUGGAGCUCCCAAAGUUUAUCAACAGACGAGUCAAACAAGAACAGGCCCCGGAGGGAUCCGUGAGACACGGCAGUCGAUGAGGGACAGCGAGAGCGGCCUGGAGCGCCUCGCCAUCGGCCACCACAUCGGGGAGCGAGCGCACAUAAUGGCGCGCUCACGAAACAGGCGCACCGGAGAUCGAGAGGAAAGGCAAGACUUCAUCAACCUUGAUGAGAGUGACGCAGCAGCGUUUGAUGAGGAGUGGAGGAGGGAGGCAGUACGAUACGUCCCCCCACAUGCCCGUGCGCUGGAGUACGGUCAGGACCCGCGCGGAGGAGGGCAGCAGCUGGCCCUUCCUGCCCCUUCCAGCUCUACAUCCCCCCAUCGACAUGAGUCUCCUCGACAUCGUCAGCAUCCCACCCGUCCGCGUUACGACUGGUGAGAAGAUCGUUUGAAGCUGACUGAGGUUGAAAGGUCCGUGUCAGGAGAUAUUUCCGGAGGUGAUCAAUUGGAUUUAAGUCCAGACUCCUGCGGUUUCUCCUUUGAUUGUUGUCCUUUUGUCUUCAGAGUUGUGCAGGUGUCCCACUUUUCAAGGAAGCAGAUGGAAGGAACUGAGGGAGAGCUUCCCCCGAUGCUGUGAAACACGCCGAAGACGGAGCUGCCCGUCAUUAAUGUUUGAUAUGACUGGACUGUCUAAACAUGUGCAACAUAUUAAACACACACACACACACACACACACACGAUCAACAAAAUAUAACACACUCUCGAUGGCUACAUUUUCAGAUCAACUUCUGUACUGUUACAUAGAGCUAUACAGAUGCCCCUGUGCAAACAUGGGUGAAAAUCCACUCACUUUAUAUAUAAAUAUAUACUCAUUCUCAAAACUUGACAUGUCUUUUACCCGCUGCAGUUCGCUGCUGCAGUAUCCAGUAAUUCUGCUGUACAGUCCAUUUUAUGUUUGUGAGGGCACUAGUGUGUCUGUGAACUGAAUUGUAUACUGUUACCUAAUUAAUCUAACUAAAUAAAAGUUCAUUAAACAUUGUUAGAUAAUUGA